CGGGACACGUGGUAUCCUGUCUGAAUAUGGGGGGACCAUCCUCCAAGGCUAAAUACUCCUGACUGACCGAUAGUGAACCAGUACCGUGAGGGAAAGGCGAAAAGAACCCCGGCGAGGGGAGUGAAAAAGAACCUGAAACCGUGUACGUACAAGCAGUGGGAGCCUCUUUAUGGGGUGACUGCGUACCUUUUGUAUAAUGGGUCAGCGACUUAUAUUCUGUAGCAAGGUUAACCGAAUAGGGGAGCCGAAGGGAAACCGAGUCUUAACUGGGCGUUAAGUUGCAGGGUAUAGACCCGAAACCCGGUGAUCUAGCCAUGGGCAGGUUGAAGGUUGGGUAACACUAACUGGAGGACCGAACCGACUAAUGUUGAAAAAUUAGCGGAUGACUUGUGGCUGGGGGUGAAAGGCCAAUCAAACCGGGAGAUAGCUGGUUCUCCCCGAAAGCUAUUUAGGUAGCGCCUCGUGAAUUCAUCUCCGGGGGUAGAGCACUGUUUCGGCAAGGGGGUCAUCCCGACUUACCAACCCGAUGCAAACUGCGAAUACCGGAGAAUGUUAUCACGGGAGACACACGGCGGGUGCUAACGUCCGUCGUGAAGAGGGAAACAACCCAGACCGCCAGCUAAGGUCCCAAAGUCAUGGUUAAGUGGGAAACGAUGUGGGAAGGCCCAGACAGCCAGGAUGUUGGCUUAGAAGCAGCCAUCAUUUAAAGAAAGCGUAAUAGCUCACUGGUCGAGUCGGCCUGCGCGGAAGAUGUAACGGGGCUAAACCAUGCACCGAAGCUGCGGCAGCGACACUAUGUGUUGUUGGGUAGGGGAGCGUUCUGUAAGCCUGCGAAGGUGUACUGUGAGGUAUGCUGGAGGUAUCAGAAGUGCG
RNAcentral lists this ribosomal RNA (873 nucleotides) under Escherichia coli. RNAcentral's name for it is "partial 23S ribosomal RNA". It matches the Rfam family "Bacterial large subunit ribosomal RNA", at positions 418 to 1292 of the family's 2925-position model. Lineage: Bacteria; Pseudomonadati; Pseudomonadota; Gammaproteobacteria; Enterobacterales; Enterobacteriaceae. The record is from RNAcentral.